Streptomyces sp. CNQ-509 is the source of this 75-nucleotide non-coding RNA. It matches the Rfam family "ASpks TB sRNA". The record is from Rfam. Lineage: Bacteria; Bacillati; Actinomycetota; Actinomycetes; Kitasatosporales; Streptomycetaceae.
CUUCACCGAGCCCAGCCACAGCGGCCGAUCGGCCGAGUGCUCGCGCCCGUACGUCGCCAGCAGCGCCUGCGCCUC